GAUGAACGCUGGCGGCGUGCCUAAUACAUGCAAGUCGAGCGAACAGACGAGGAGCUUGCUCCUCUGACGUUAGCGGCGGACAGGUGAGUAACACGUGGAUAACCUACCUAUAAGACUGGGAUAACUUCGGGAAACCGGAGCUAAUACCGGAUAAUAUAUUGAACCGCAUGGUUCAAUAGUGAAAGACGGUUUUGCUGUCACUUAUAGAUGGAUCCGCGCCGCAUUAGCUAGUUGGUAAGGUAACGGCUUACCAAGGCAACGAUGCGUAGCCGACCUGAGAGGGUGGUCGGCCACCCGGGAACGGGAACACGGUCCAGACUCCUGCGGGAGGCAGCAGUAGGGAAUCUUCCGCAAUGGGCGAAAGCCUGACGGAGCAACGCCGCGUGAGUGAUGAAGGUCUUCGGAUCGUAAAACUCUGUUAUUAGGGAAGAACAAAUGUGUAAGUAACUAUGCACGUCUUGACGGUACCUAAUCAGAAAGCCACGGCUAACUACGUG
This 497-nucleotide ribosomal RNA is filed under the name uncultured bacterium. Its description in RNAcentral is "partial 16S ribosomal RNA". It matches the Rfam family "Bacterial small subunit ribosomal RNA", at positions 28 to 507 of the family's 1533-position model. The record is from RNAcentral.